AUUGAACGCUGGCGGCAUGCUUUACACAUGCAAGUCGAACGGUAACAGGCCGUAAGGUGCUGACGAGUGGCGAACGGGUGAGUAAUGCAUCGGAACGUGCCCAGUCGUGGGGGAUAACGCAGCGAAAGCUGCGCUAAUACCGCAUACGAUCUAUGGAUGAAAGCGGGGGACCGUAAGGCCUCGCGCGAUUGGAGCGGCCG
Molecule: ribosomal RNA, 200 nt
Filed under: uncultured bacterium
Lineage: Bacteria
Description: partial 16S ribosomal RNA
Rfam family: Bacterial small subunit ribosomal RNA
Source: RNAcentral